CUUGUUGGAAGCUUGCUUCCAACUUGGCCUAGCGGCGGACGGGUGAGUAAAGCCUAGGAAUCUGCCUGGUAGUGGGGGAUAACGCUCGGAAACGGACGCUAAUACCGCAUACGUCCUACGGGAGAAAGCAGGGGACCUUCGGGCCUUGCGCUAUCAGAUGAGCCUAGGUCGGAUUAGCUAGUUGGUGAGGUAAUGGCUCACCAAGGCGACGAUCCGUAACUGGUCUGAGAGGAUGAUCAGUCACACUGGAACUGAGACACGGUCCAGACUCCUACGGGAGGCAGCAGUGGGGAAUAUUGGACAAUGGGCGAAAGCCUGAUCCAGCCAUGCCGCGUGUGUGAAGAAGGUCUUCGGAUUGUAAAGCACUUUAAGUUGGGAGGAAGGGCAUUAACCUAAUACGUUAGUGUUUUGACGUUACCGACAGAAUAAGCACCGGCUAACUCUGUGCCAGCAGCCGCGGUAAUACAGAGGGUGCAAGCGUUAAUCGGAAUUACUGGGCGUAAAGCGCGCGUAGGUGGUUCGUUAAGUUGGAUGUGAAAUCCCCGGGCUCAACCUGGGAACUGCAUUCAAAACUGUCGAGCUAGAG
RNAcentral lists this ribosomal RNA (586 nucleotides) under uncultured Pseudomonas sp. RNAcentral's name for it is "bacterial SSU rRNA". It matches the Rfam family "Bacterial small subunit ribosomal RNA", at positions 67 to 646 of the family's 1533-position model. The record is from RNAcentral. Lineage: Bacteria; Pseudomonadati; Pseudomonadota; Gammaproteobacteria; Pseudomonadales; Pseudomonadaceae.